RNAcentral lists this ribosomal RNA (492 nucleotides) under uncultured bacterium. Its description in RNAcentral is "partial 16S ribosomal RNA". It matches the Rfam family "Bacterial small subunit ribosomal RNA", at positions 29 to 507 of the family's 1533-position model. The record is from RNAcentral.
AGUGAACGCUGGCGGUAGGCCUAACACAUGCAAGUCGAACGGCAGCACAGUAAGAGCUUGCUCUUACGGGUGGCGAGUGGCGGACGGGUGAGGAAUACAUCGGACUCUACUUUUUCGUGGGGGAUAACGUAGGGAAACUUACGCUAAUACCGCAUACGACCUACGGGUGAAAGCAGGGGACCUUCGGACCUUGCGCGAUUGAAUGAGCCGAUGUCGGAUUAGCUAGUUGGCGGGGUAAAGGCCCACCAAGGCGACGAUCCGUAGGUGGUCUGAGAGGAUGAUCAGCCACACUGGAACUGAGACACGGUCCAGACUCCUACGGGGGGCAGCAGUGGGGAAUAUUGGACAAUGGGCGCAAGCCUGAUCCAGCCAUACCGCGUGGGUGAAGAAGGCCUUCGGGUUGUAAAGCCCUUUUGUUGGGAAAGAAAAGCAGCAGGUUAAUACCCCGCUAUUCUGACGGUACCCAAAGAAUAAGCACCGGCUAACUUCGUG